UCCUUUGUAGUGUAAUGGCUAUCACGGUUCGCUUUCAGUUAAUUUAAUAUUAAUUGCAAGUUCCGAGCAGAUCGGGGUUCGAUUCCCCGCAAGGGAG
Lodderomyces orthopsilosis Co 90-125 is the source of this 97-nucleotide non-coding RNA. The record is from the annotation of a RefSeq genome assembly. Lineage: Eukaryota; Fungi; Ascomycota; Pichiomycetes; Serinales; Debaryomycetaceae.